Physcomitrium patens is the source of this 3986-nucleotide non-coding RNA. NCBI's taxonomy places the organism in Eukaryota, Viridiplantae, Streptophyta, Bryopsida, Funariales, Funariaceae. The record is from RefSeq and is a predicted model, not a curated record.
UCUUGACUUGUGAGCUAGUCCGUCGUCUGGUCCUGCUUUCGCAUCCGAAUGAGGACUCCGGAAUCGAAUUGGUCUGUUCGAUUCGCCGACUCCACAAAGAUUGGAACCUGGACUGGUCCGGCGGGCUUGGGAAGGAAGGAAGGAAAGAAGCAAGGAAGGAGAGAGAUCUUAAUUGGCUGCUCAAUAGUCUGAGACGUGGAGCGAGAGAGAGAGAGAGAGGGACUGUAUAUGGAAUAUGAUACGGGCCCGCUUGGUACGAGGAGUUCUCUCGUGGUUUAUUGGCGGGGGGUAGGGCGUUGGCGCCGACGUGUCUGGAGGGUUUUGGAGGUUUGAUGGUUGUGACAACAGGUUGCAUACGCAGUGAAGAUUGGUAAGAGUGGAAACAGGGAUGCGAAUGCGGGAUGGUUGACAUUUGAGGGUGUGCUGAUUUUUGAUUGCAGUCACCUUCGAGUGGAUGUGGAGCACAGAUUGAUUCUUCGCAGGUGCUAAAUUCAGAAUCUUAAUGAUUCUCCUAGCUGCUAUUGGAUGAAAAUAUGAUAGGGAAUUGCGAAGGUGAAGGGAUAAAAUAUUUUAUUUCGGGCACGGAUUGUGGAUUUUUGAAUGCACUUCGAGCAGAUAACCGUGCAAGGGCAUUUGAUUUUGGAUAUUAGAGAGGAUUUAUAGUGAAGGGUUGUGAGAAACAGGAUUAAUACAGUGGACUGAAGUGAUUUUGAGAUUGACAUUGUCUUUUCAAAUUGCAUUUUGCUGAUCAAGACAAACGGGAGUUGCCAGGAGGACCUCACUGGUGUUAAACCCUCGUGCGUGGCAUACAUUAUGUUUAGUAGAACUAAGUUAGUAUAGAGCUGUGUGCAAUUUGGAUUCUCGAAGAUAUUUUAAUGUGACGAAGUGAAGAAGAGCUAUGGCUGUAUAUUCGGGUUCUAGUGCAGGCGUUCCUCGCAUGGAACACAGCUCUGUGAAUUAUGCCGGAAUCCACUCAAGCUCGUCACGGGGUCUGGAUUCACAAUACCGCUUACGAGUCACUUCUUUGCCAAACCAUGCACUUGGUUCCCGGCUUCGUCGACCUGGUGUAAUUAACGCGUUAUUGCAGCACAGUUUAACUAUCCCAGCACUCUCCUUGGAACUCCGAAAUCGAAAAAUGAAAAACCAGUUGCUUCGCAGCUCUUCAAGCUUAGGUGAUGGAAACUCGAGAAAAUUAGUGCGGCCACAAAGCAAUCCAUGUAGAUUACGUCAACGUAAGUUGCAUGUUGUUAAGGCCCAAGUGACGGAAUUAGCCUCAGGCUUAGAUGUAAUCAACAACCUGGGACUGGAUACUCUCACAUUUCUUGGGGCCACUGUGUUGGUUGUUCCAGCAUUCAAAGCUGUCAAACAAAGUCCUAUUUUGGGAUUCCUACUAGCGGGUGUUGUAUUGAAUCAACUGGAAUUGAUCCGAAGCGUUACAGAUGUCAAGGCUUUAGCUGAACUUGGAAUUCUUUUUCUGCUGUUUGAGAUGGGACUGGAGCUUUCUUUAGCGCGUCUUAAAGCUCUGGCGAAAUUUGCUUUUGGCAUAGGACUUGCCCAGGUUGUGCUAUCCACAUUGGCAUUCACAGCCUUUGAACUUCCUCCUAAUAAGGCAAUUGGCACUCAAAUUCUUGAAUUUCUCUUUCACGCUAGGCCGGAUCUUGUGAAUAUUAGAACAGUAGACGAAGCGGUGGUGAUAGGUGCCGCUCUUUCUCUCUCUUCAUCAGCUUUCGUGCUGCAGCUUCUAGCGGAGAAGGGGGAGCUACCGACACGAUUUGGUUCUGCCACUCUGGGUAUUCUGCUUCUACAGGACAUUGCUGUAGUGCCAUUGUUGGUGAUCCUUCCCAUCUUGGAGACUGGGAAUAUUGCGGAUUCCAAUCUUUGGCCUGUUUUGGCAUCGGAAAGUUUGAAAGCUUUGCUUGGACUUGGUCUCAUAUCUCUUGGUGGUCGUCUUUUCCUUCGUCGACUUUUUGAAAUUGUGGCGAAUUCAAGGAGCUCAGAGGCAUUCGUAGCAAUGUGUUUGUUGACGGUUACGGGAACUUCUCUUUUGACACAAAAACUUGGUUUUAGUGACACGCUUGGGGCUUUUCUAGCUGGAGCGUUACUUGCUGAGACUAACUACCGUACUCAGGUGGAAGCAGACAUAAGACCAUUUCGUGGCCUUCUGUUGGGUCUUUUCUUUGUGACCACCGGAACAUCAAUCGACAUUCAGUUAUUGACACGAGAAUGGCCCAAUGUAUUGGCCCUUCUUGCUGGGCUUAUUGCUAUCAAGACCGCUAUCAUUACUGCAAUUGGACCACGAGUAGGGCUAACCUUGUCCGAGAGUGUUCGCACAGGCUUGCUUCUCUCACAAGGCGGGGAGUUUGCGUUUGUCGUAUUUUCUCUCGCCAACCGACUGGGAGUUUUACCGUUAGAGUUGAACAGGCUGUUGAUCAUAGUUGUGGUUCUGUCAAUGGCUUUGACACCGCUUUUGAAUGAAGUGGGUCGUAAGGCAGCAGAAUACAUUGAGAGAGAGUUUGAGGAUGUUUCUCCAACGGACUCAGAAUUACAAGGCGUAAAGAACUUCGAGGCCAACGAACCUGUGGUCAUAAUCGGAUUCGGUCAAAUGGGUCAGGUACUUGCCAACUUUCUGUCUACCCCAUUGGCGACUGGUCUUGGUGGAGAUGCAGCUGGUUGGCCAUAUGUUGCAUUCGAUCUGGAUCCUGGUCGAGUGAAGGCUGCCUGUAAGCUUGGCUUUCCAGUGUUGUAUGGAGAUGGUUCUCGACCUUUAGUCUUACAAACAGCGGGAAUUACGCAGCCAAAGGCGGUAAUGGUGAUGUACACAGGGCGACAAAAGUCAGUUCAGUCAGUGGAACGUCUUCGUCAAGCUUUUCCUCAAGUGCCCAUCUACGCAAGAGCACAAGAUUUGGGACAUCUUUUGGAAUUGAAACAUGCCGGGAUAACUGAUUGCAUACUCGAAAAUGCUGAGACAAGUCUGCAACUGGGAUCAGUGCUUCUACGUGGGCUGGGGGUCAUGUCCGAUGAUGUAAGAUUUUUACGCCGCAUGAUGCGGGAAUCUAUGGAGCUUCGCGCACAGGAGACGGUGGAGAAGAAGGAGAACAAAGAGACUGAUUGGCUAGUCCCUUUCCAGACCAAGGUACGGCAAACUUGGAAGAACAGAAACAUGAAGAAUGACUCGGUGAAGAGGAAAAAUGAAAUCAUCAAUGACCAAGCCUACUGGAUGGAUGCAGGGAGUACCGCUCCUAGUGCAGAUAUAUAUUCGUUAGACAAGGAGAAACUUAGACGAGAAGUUACCAUUAUUGUUUGCCAACAACAACUCUGCAACAGAGGUCAAAAUUUCAUCUACAGAAGUUUUAAAUGGAAACGCUAGUUCUGGGGAAGACGGGUCAACGUCCUCAUCGGUUGUUGCUGUCGCUUCGUCCUCCGGAGUGUUUACUGAUCGGAAACUCCAGCCUGGGGCUGCUGAUCAAGUAUCCAAUCCUGACACCGAAAGCCUUGCUGCCUCUGCGGAGAUCUCUGAUAACGAACCCUCUCCACCUGUGUCGUCUCCAGUCCAACCAGCAAGCAGAGGUAUCGCUAAAUUGAAGUGGCGAAUGAGAACACCAUCACCAGAACCAGAGGAGCUAGAAGACGAGAGAGGAGUGACAUUAUGUGCGUUAGAGGAAGACGAGCGGUACAGAAUGGAGCUUGAGGAAGGCGAGGAGUUGGAGACUAUAGAUGUAACAAUAACAGCAUUAAAUAGGGAUGAAUCGAAAUGAGAUAUUGAUUCAUUAUUUAACAUGGGCACGUACAUGUAUGAUACAUAGAUGUGAGUGGGUAGGCUUGAACAUUUGUGCUUGAGCUUCCACUUACGGCAGAAAGCUGUAAAACGGCUUUGUAGUCAAAUAGACAUUUUAAAGCCAUUAAACCGGCAUUGUUAUUGCAGAUAUCAUGUACACCACAGCAACUGGUUAGCUUUUCUUACAGAAGGAAAUUGCCCUCUUUUUUCA